This 490-nucleotide ribosomal RNA is filed under the name uncultured bacterium. RNAcentral's name for it is "bacterial SSU rRNA". It matches the Rfam family "Bacterial small subunit ribosomal RNA", at positions 29 to 520 of the family's 1533-position model. The record is from RNAcentral.
AACGAACGCUGGCGGCGUGCCUAACACAUGCAAGUCGUGCGGGAAAGUUCCUUCGGGAGCGAGUAAAGCGGCGCACGGGUGAGUAACACGUAGGUAACCUGCCCCCCAGUCUGGAACAACUAGAGGAAACUCUAGCUAAUGCCGGAUGAGACCACGAUCCCUUCGGGGGUUGCGGCCAAAGAUGGCCUCUACUUGUAAGCUAUCGCUGAGGGAUGGGCCUGCGGGCCAUUAGCUAGUUGGUGGGGUAAAGGCCUACCAAGGCGACGAUCCGUAGCUGGUUUGAGAGGAUGAUCAGCCACACUGGGACUGAGACACGGCCCAGACUCCUACGGGAGGCAGCAGUGGGGAAUCUUAGACAAUGGGCGCAAGCCUGAUCUAGCCAUGCCGCGUGAUCGAUGAAGGCCUUAGGGUUGUAAAGAUCUUUCAGUGGGGAAGAUAAUGACGGUACCCACAGAAGAAGCCCCGGCUAACUCCGUGCCAGCAGCCGCGU